This 200-nucleotide ribosomal RNA is filed under the name Aliarcobacter cryaerophilus. RNAcentral describes it as "Arcobacter cryaerophilus partial 23S ribosomal RNA". It matches the Rfam family "Bacterial large subunit ribosomal RNA", at positions 1326 to 1529 of the family's 2925-position model. The record is from RNAcentral. Lineage: Bacteria; Pseudomonadati; Campylobacterota; Epsilonproteobacteria; Campylobacterales; Arcobacteraceae.
AAUCCUUAACGCCGAAAACCCAAGGUUUCCUACGCGAUGCUCGUCAUCGUAGGGUUAGUCGGGUCCUAAGUCGAGUCUGAAAAGAGUAGACGAUGGCAAAUUGGUUAAUAUUCCAAUACCAACAUAUAAGCGCGAUGUGGGGACGCAUAGAGUUAAUCGAGCACACUGAUGGAAUAGUGGGUCGAAGGACGUAGGUUGUU